This 367-nucleotide ribosomal RNA is filed under the name uncultured bacterium. RNAcentral's name for it is "bacterial SSU rRNA". It matches the Rfam family "Bacterial small subunit ribosomal RNA", at positions 28 to 396 of the family's 1533-position model. The record is from RNAcentral.
GACGAACGCUGGCGGCGUGCUUAACACAUGCAAGUCGAGCGGUAAGGCCCUUUCGGGGGUACACGAGCGGCGAACGGGUGAGUAACACGUGGGUGACCUGCCCUCAGCUCUGGGAUAAGCCUGGGAAACUGGGUCUAAUACUGGAUAUGACUCCACGGUGCAUGUCGUGGGGUGGAAAGCCUUGUGCGGCUGAGGAUGGGCCCGCGGCCUAUCAGCUUGUUGGUGGGGUGAUGGCCUACCAAGGCGACGACGGGUAGCCGGCCUGAGAGGGCGACCGGCCACCCUGGGACUGAGACACGGCCCAGACUCCUACGGGAGGCAGCAGUGGGGAAUCUUGCGCAAUGGGCGAAAGCCUGACGCAGUGACG